UACUCUUGACAUCCUGCGAACUUUCGAGAGAUCGAUUGGUGCCUUUGGGAACGCAGAGACAGGUGCUGCAUGGCUGUCGUCAGCUCGUGUUGUGAAAUGUUGGGUUAAGUCCCGUAACGAGCGCAACCCUCGUCGUUAGUUGCUAACAGUUCGGCUGAGAACUCUAACGAGACUGCCUACGCAAGUAGGAGGAAGGUGAGGACGACGUCAAGUCAUCAUGGCCCUUACGACCAGGGCUACACACGUGCUACAAUGGCGGUAUACAAAGAGCAGCAAUACGGUGACGUGGAGCGAAUCUCAAAAAUGCCUCCCAGUUCGGAUUGUAGUCUGCAACUCGACUACAUGAAGUUGGAAUCGCUAGUAAUCGUAGAUCAGCUAUGCUACGGUGAAUACGUUCCCGGGUCU
RNAcentral lists this ribosomal RNA (405 nucleotides) under uncultured bacterium. RNAcentral's name for it is "bacterial SSU rRNA". It matches the Rfam family "Bacterial small subunit ribosomal RNA", at positions 976 to 1381 of the family's 1533-position model. The record is from RNAcentral.